RNAcentral lists this long non-coding RNA (262 nucleotides) under Actinia tenebrosa (Australian red waratah sea anemone). Its description in RNAcentral is "uncharacterized LOC116289287, transcript variant X1". The record is from RNAcentral. Lineage: Eukaryota; Metazoa; Cnidaria; Anthozoa; Actiniaria; Actiniidae.
UCACAAGCAAAAAAACAUGGAGGAGUUAACUCGAAAGGGGACGAGAAACAUUGCUAUUAGACGGCGAGGAACAAUAUCUGGAGAUGAUUAUGAUUGACUUACUUUGGUCCCUCAGUGUUGUUGCUAACCAUAUUCACUGGUAUGUUAAUGUAUUACUAUUGUACAUGAAAAUAGCAGACACUCUUGAGCAAAACAUUACUUAUGUGGAAGGGGUCAUGAGUGAGUGCUGCUGGUUUUUAGAAUUAAAAAUAUGAUUUUCUUA